GACGAACGCUGGCGGCGUGCUUAACACAUGCAAGUCGAACGCUGAAGACCUGGCUUUUGUUGGGUUGGAUGAGUGGCGAACGGGUGAGUAACACGUGAGUAACCUGCCCUCUUCUUUGGGAUAACGCCCGGAAACGGGUGCUAAUACUGGAUAUUCACUGAUCUUCGCAUGGGGGUUGGUGGAAAGGUUUGUUCUGGUGGGGGAUGGGCUCGCGGCCUAUCAGCUUGUUGGUGGGGUGAUGGCCUACCAAGGCUUUGACGGGUAGCUGGCCUGAGAGGGUGACCGGUCACAUUGGGACUGAGAUACGGCCCAGACUCCUACGGGAGGCAGCAGUGGGGAAUAGUGCACAAUGGGCGAAAGCCUGAUGCAGCGACGCCGCGUGAGGGAUGGAGGCCUUCGGGUUGUAAACCUCUUUCGCUCAUGGUCAAGCCGCAACUGUGGGUUGUGGUGAGGGUAGUGGGUAAAGAAGCGCCGGCUAACUACGUG
RNAcentral lists this ribosomal RNA (486 nucleotides) under uncultured bacterium. Its description in RNAcentral is "partial 16S ribosomal RNA". It matches the Rfam family "Bacterial small subunit ribosomal RNA", at positions 28 to 507 of the family's 1533-position model. The record is from RNAcentral.